AUGGCUUGGGCGAUGGGAAACGCCACCCAGGCCAAACCUGUCCCCGCUGUGUUUACUGCGAGGGAAGCUGCUGAAGGAGCAGGACCUGGCAGCGGGGCUCCUGGGCUCCCCCCCCCAAACAUCUUCUCACUAACUCCAGAGGUGGCUCCGGAGGUGGCACAGCCUCUGAGCAGCAGCUGCCCCUGUCCUCACAGGAUGGCUGCCCACGGCCCUGCUGGCAGCGUCUGCACGGGAAUGACAGAGCCAGGGGGACAACCACGGGGCUGGGGACCGAGGCACGCAGCCAGGGGCCACACGCCGGGCACCACCAGGCGCGGGACACACCUGCACCCUGCCACCCCAACGCGUCCCCGCCGGCGGCACCCACCUGUGGAAGAGCAGCAGGAUGGAGAGCAGGGUCUGGUCGAUGUUCCUGUUGCAGAUGCCCUGGUUGAAGAGGUAGCAGGGGUCCCGCACCACGGGCUCCAGCGAGUCCUGGCGCAUGAUGGAGCUCAGCUUGUCGGUGUUGAGGUUCUUGCGGACCAGCUGCUCCUGCAGCUGCCGGAAGCUGCUGACGGUGGGGCUGCCCGGGUUGUUGUUCUCGCCCCCGGCCCCCUCCUCCGGGCCGCUCCGGUUGGCCAAGUCCAGGCAGCAGCUGCAGCAGUCCAGCCCCACGGGCGAGCGGCACUCCUCGCCGGGCGACGAGGACAUCCCGCGCCCCUGCGCGCCUCCAACGCCGCCUCCAACGCCGCCGCCACCGGGGCCGCGCGGAGGGCGAGCGGCGGCAGGGGACGCGCCCGGUACCGAGCGCCGCGCACAGCCAGCCAGCCGCCCGCCCGGCCCCGGCCACGGCCCCGGCCCCGCUCCCGGUCCCGGCUCCCGGCUCCGCUCCUCCCGGUGCUGAUUGGUAACGGCGGCCCCCGAGCGCCCGGCCGCCGCCGCCUCCGCUCCCCGCCCCGCAGCCGCUGCCGCCGCCGCCGCCGCCGCCGCCCCACCCCGGGCCGCCCCGCGGGAGCCCGCCCCGCCGGCACCCGCUGCUGCCAGCCCCGGCACCGCCCCGCCCGAGGCCGCUGCCAGCCCUCCCCUGGGGGGGGGAGCCCCGCCGGUAGGCGCUGGGACACGCGGUGCCACCCGGAGCCGCUGGCACCCCGCUGCCGCUGCGCCCCUGGGGCACCUCCCCGCCGGCACCCACUGGGGGACCCGCUGGGGACCCGCGGUGGCACCAGGAAGACGGUGUCCCGUCCCCCCCCCCCGGUGCCACUCCACUCCACCCCACGGGACGCCACCCCAGUGGCACCCGCUGACUCACUGGGGACGUGA
RNAcentral lists this long non-coding RNA (1299 nucleotides) under Anas platyrhynchos (mallard). RNAcentral's name for it is "lncRNA (ENSAPLG00020017798.1)". The record is from RNAcentral. Lineage: Eukaryota; Metazoa; Chordata; Aves; Anseriformes; Anatidae.